CCUUCCUCAUCUGAGGUGGAAUCAACCUUCCUCAUCUGAGGGGGAAUCGACCUUCCUCAUCUGAGGUGGAAGGUUACCUUCCUCAUCUGAGGUGAAAUCGACCUUCCUCAUCUGAGGUGGAAGGUGACAGAGCUACAGCGGUGUUUGUCAAGAGAUCGUGGUGAAACAUCCUUGUUGGUCUUCUCACAAAUACUUCUCUAGCGUCCUAACGAGUCAGAUUGGACCAUCUUAAAACAAUUCCAUAUGUAACCAGAUUGUACGAUUUAGUUAUUUUAGUUGGAACUCCGGGCCCUUAGACCCCUUUUUCUAACAGCUUUGUGAUGGGGAAUAUAAUUAUAUUGAAACUAACCUGCCAACUGGAACUAAGCCUUAGAGACACACACACAGGUUCUCUCUUCCCUCUGUAACUCCUGUCAGGCUGACCUGACCUGCUAGUAACUAACACACAUCAGCCUCCACAUCCAACGUGAAAACAACUGGAACCAAGCCUUAGAGACACAGACACAGGUUCUCUCUUCCCUCUGUAACUCCUGUCAGGCUGACCUGACCUGCUAGUAACUAACACACAUCAGCCUCCACAUCCAACGUGAAAACAACUGGAACCAAGCCUUAGAGACACAGACACAGGUUCUCUCUUCCCCCUCAAAGUGUUCCUCUGUAACUCCUGUCAGGCUGACCUGACCUGCUGGUAACUAACACACAUCAGCCUCCAACGUGAAAACAACUGGAACCAAGCCUUAGAGACACAGACACAGGUUCUCUCUUCCCUCUGUAACUCCUGUCAGGCUGACCUGACCUGCUAGUAACUAACACACAUCAGCCUCCACAUCCAACGUGAAAA
Non-coding RNA from Oncorhynchus mykiss (rainbow trout), 841 nucleotides. The record is from RefSeq and is a predicted model, not a curated record. Lineage: Eukaryota; Metazoa; Chordata; Actinopteri; Salmoniformes; Salmonidae.